UACGUAGGGGGCAAGCGUUGUCCGGAAUCAUUGGGCGUAAAGAGCGUGUAGGCGGCCCGAUAAGUCCGCUGUGAAAGUCCAGGGCUCAACCCUGGGAUGCCGGUGGAUACUGUCGGGCUCGAGUCCGGAAGAGGAGUGUGGAAUUCCUGGUGUAGCGGUGGAAUGCGCAGAUAUCAGGAGGAACCCCCAUAGCGAAGGCAGCUCGCUGGGACGGUACUGACGCUGAGGCGCGAAAGCGUGGGGAGCGAACAGG
RNAcentral lists this ribosomal RNA (253 nucleotides) under uncultured bacterium. RNAcentral's name for it is "partial 16S ribosomal RNA". It matches the Rfam family "Bacterial small subunit ribosomal RNA", at positions 524 to 776 of the family's 1533-position model. The record is from RNAcentral.